CCUGCUCCUGAAUUUGAGGCAACGGGGGUCUUUUUCUGUGACGUCAGAUAAUUUAAUCCCAACGGAACAAGAUGGCGCCGCACAGCGUGCUGAGGAAUCGGAGCCGGUGAGGACAGAUCUGUAACAACAACGUUUUGAACGGCGGGCUGUGAUGCCUGGCUGGGGGGCAAUGGAGACCCUUUGACUAGCUUCACCUGGAGGGGGUGCUGUGAGAGGGAGACCACAAGCAUACAGGUGUCCACAUCAAAGCAGGAAUUAUGGUACCCCCUCUGCUUUUCUACAGGUUGCUGUUCUCCCCAUGGACACUCAGGUGGCCUUUGACAGUCAGUCCACCAUCAGAGACCGUGUUUAACUCUCAGCACUGUGACCAGCUCUGUACAGGCAACCGCAGAAGCCAACAACCUUGCUGCCGUGGCUGGAGCCAAGGAAGCCUACGUCAGAAGAGCGGGUGCUGAAGCCCUUGAGCGAUCGCCUCAUGAAAGGACGCCAUCGAAGCGGAGUGUGGCCAACUCCAUCAGGGCUCGUCUGCCAGAGCCGGGUCCGCCGCACGCCAGGCUGAAGACGAACCGACCGGCUUCUGCUCAGCGUGCUUUUCCCAUGGACUGCAGGACAAAAGUUCUACUGCCUUCCGCUGUGGUUGGACAUUUCUGAACGCUGCCACAGCUUUGGCUCUACGUCUUACUACCAGCCCAUUGGCUCCCCUCCAACAUAUACUGCCAGCUCAUUGGCUCCUCUCCAACAUAUACUGCAUUCCACUUAGAUCCCCUGCAAGGGGUUCACCAGGGUAUUUGUCAUGUGAACGUCGUUCUCUUGAAACUAUAGUACUUUAUUCCUAAACAUAGGGUUUUAAAGUGAGAAUGUCUGUAUUAUCAAAGGCUGGCUUAGAAUGUGUUUUUAUGUUUUACUUUACAUUUAUAAGCUGGUUGUGCUUUUUGGAUUCAGGGGUAUUUCAGAGAUUGACCGCAUGACUGCUGCUACAUUAACUUCAGUGAUAACUUGCGGUCUAUGGUAGCUGCACUGUGGCCCAGUGAAUCUCUUCACGACUGCCUUUUCUGAGGCCUAUUUCCAACAGGUGUUCUAUGGUUAACUGUGGAAGAAAACAUGCACAGUUUAGAGCUGUUAUCAUUGUAGUGGAAAUUUUGUUAUAUAUUUUGUUGCUUCAAAUUUUGUCUCUCUCCAUUCGUAUGAAACAAUGCAUGUUAUCUGGUCUAUGUGGCCUACACCAUAAAAGCCAAGGAUAUGUAAAUGGCAACAGGGGUUCAGAAUUCUACAAUGGAUUUUAUUUCCUGUAAAACUGCACUUUCCCUCUCUAGUGAAAGAUACUCAUAUGAUGACUUGUUUUGUCUUGUCUUGUGCCAACAUCAGUACCAGAUGCACCAAUGUUGCAGUAAGAAUUCCAACCAAAACUGUCAUUGCUUUCUGGGUACUAUUUUAAAUGUAAUAUUUAUGAGUGGUGCAUGUGUAAGAAAUAGCCAGUUUGGUGGAAGGGUUGGGUACAGUAAAAAAAUGUGUGUAACUCAUGUCACUAUCAUAAUUUAUGUUCAACUUUAAAGGCAGAGUACUGUACUCCAAUUCCACCCCUUCUGACAAGUAUUGUGCAAUGUUAACAGACCUCAUCUGUCUGUAAUGUUAUUUCCUUUAUUUAU
This is a long non-coding RNA of Anguilla anguilla (European eel), 1646 nucleotides long. RefSeq lists it as uncharacterized. The record is from RefSeq and is a predicted model, not a curated record. The transcript is spliced from 5 exons. Lineage: Eukaryota; Metazoa; Chordata; Actinopteri; Anguilliformes; Anguillidae.